UUUUAUUUGAGAGUUUGAUCCUGGCUCAGGAUGAACGCUGGCGGCGUGCCUAACACAUGCAAGUUGAGCGAUUUACUUCGGUAAAGAGCGGCGGACGGGGGAGUAACGCGUGGGUAACCUACCCUGUACACACGGAUAACAUACCGAAAGGUAUGCUAAUACGGGAUAAUAUAUUUGAGAGGCAUCUCUUGAAUAUCAAAGGUGAGCCAGUACAGGAUGGACCCGCGUCUGAUUAGCUAGUUGGUAAGGUAACGGCUUACCAAGGCG
RNAcentral lists this ribosomal RNA (267 nucleotides) under Clostridioides difficile. RNAcentral describes it as "partial 16S ribosomal RNA". It matches the Rfam family "Bacterial small subunit ribosomal RNA", at positions 1 to 275 of the family's 1533-position model. The record is from RNAcentral. Lineage: Bacteria; Bacillati; Bacillota; Clostridia; Peptostreptococcales; Peptostreptococcaceae.